Molecule: non-coding RNA, 2601 nt
Organism: Xyrichtys novacula (pearly razorfish)
Lineage: Eukaryota; Metazoa; Chordata; Actinopteri; Labriformes; Labridae
Source: the annotation of a GenBank genome assembly
GUAAAAGCUCAAAUCAUCAGUGAUGAAGAUGAUUUUUAGAUGCUUUUACCUUUGACUGACUAUUAUUAUUUUUUUGUUAUCCAUGUGUGAUUUUAAUAUCAGCACCUUAAACCUGAAUGGGGCCAGGGCUGAUUUUAAAUGAGACGCUCUUUUUAAACUGAUGGAGACUAAAAGAAUAGAUAUAAUGUUUGUCCAAGAAACCCAUAGCAGCUUAGACAAUGAAAGUGAUUGGAAGAGGGCUUUUAAUGGGGAGGUAGUUUUAAGCCACAAGUCCAGUCUGAGCGGAGGGGUGGGGAUUUUAUUUGCAGAGUUUUUUACCCCUUUCUUUUACUGUCCAUGAGAUCAUUCCAGGUGUUUUAUUGAAGGUGAAAGCUGUCUUUGAAAAUCUAAAAUGUGUGUUUUUAAAUGUCUAUGCUCCUACUAAUGCUGUGGAGCAAAUAGCAUUUUUAAACAUUUUAAAUGACUGUGUUAGGGAUUGUGAGAAUGAUGGUUUUAUGUUUUUAGGGGGAGAUUUUAACUGCACAGUUGAUCCAUCCCUGGACAGGAACCAUCCUAAUCACACACACUCAGGCGGCUGACAGAGAGUCAGGAGCUGAGUGAUGUGUGGAGGGUUUUUAACAGUCAGCACAGACAGUACACCUGGAGUCACAGUAGGGAGGGGGUUUUAACUCUGGUUAUAUGAUUAUAAAAUCCUGUCCAAGGCUCUGUCCGUCAAACUGAGGGAGGUGAUGGCGUCCAUCAUCUACCUUGACCAGACCUACUGUGUGCCUGGCAGGCUCAUCAGUGACAAUGUCACUUUAAUUCGAGACGUUUUGGAGCUCUCCAGUUCAUUGGGUAUAGAGACUGGUCUUAUUUCCAUAGAUCAGGAAAAGGCUUUUGACCGAGUUGAACACCAGUACCUGUGGCAGACUCUGGCUGCCUUUGGGUUCAACCCUGGGUUCAUAGCCAUGGUCCGGGUUCUCUAUAGUGACAUUGCGAGUGUUCUGAAAAUUAACAGCGGGCUGAGUGCACCAUUUGAGAGCCAGAGAGGGGUGAGGCAGGGCUGCUCUCUCUCUGGGAUGUUGUAUUCAGUUGCCAUCGAGCCUCUCCUUCACAAGCUGCGAGACAAACUGAGUGGUGUGUGUUUCCCCUGGUGCCCUGUGUCUUUCAAACUGUCUGUUUACGCUGAUGAUCUUAUUGUUUUAGUCAAAACACAAAGAGACAUUGACAUUUUAACUGACACUGCUGAUAAUUUUGGUUUUAUCUCCUCAGCAAAGGUGAACUGGGGGAAAAGCGAGGCUCUGAUGGCUGGAGGGGAGCUGGGGGGUCGGCUCAGGCUGCCCGGUGGCCUACAGUGGAAAAAAGGAGGACUCCGGUACCUUGGGGUCUUCCUAGGAGAUGAGACCUACAUACAGAAAACUGGGACAAUGUCCUGGAGCAGGUUAAAGGUCGGCUGGAGAAGUGGAGGAGGCUGCUCCCUAAAAUGUCUUACAGAGGCCAAACCUUAAUCACAAAUAAUCUGGGCUCAUCUUCCCUGUGGCACCGGCUAGCCUGUGUCGAUCCUCCGGUUUCUCUCCUCUCCAAGAUUCAAUCGUUUUUAGUUGAUUUUAUUUGGGACAGACUCCACUGGGUCCCACAGAGUGUCCUGUUUUUACGGAAAGAGGAGGGGGGCCAGGGCCUGGUCCACCUGGCCAGCAGGGGCGCAGCCUUCAGGCUCCAAUUCAUUCAAAGGCUGCUGACGGGGCCGAAGGACACUCUGUGGAGGCCUCUGUCCCGCCGCAUUCUGCAGGGUUUUAACAGCCUGGGUCAGAAUUUUAAUUUGUUUUUAUUGAACACACAGAACAUGAGCACAUCUUCUCUGCCUGGUUUUUAUCAAAGUGUUUUUAAGGUUUGGUGCCUGCUGAGGAAGGAGAGGAGGGGCCAGGUGGACUCUACACACUGGCUCCUGCAGGAACCGGUCAUGUGGGGGACCCGUUUAGACCUUCCCAGCUGGGCAGGUCAGAGUCUGGAGAAAAGACUGCAGACUUCGGGGAUCGUCACUCUGGGGCAGGUGGUGGAGCUGACGGGACCCCGAAUGGAUGACCCCGAAUGGACUCGCUGCCCGGCUGGGACUUUCAUCAAUGAGGGUCCCACAAAAACUCUUGGACCACUGGAGACAGAGACUCACAGGACACGACCGUCUGCUUUUAAACUCCCCUUUUAACCAGACAGUGACUGAAAAAGGCUCCUUUCCUUCCAUCUUCCUGGCAACGGAUUUUAAAGACUGUUCUGGCCCGCUGUUGGAUUUUAACCACCCUGCCCCUUUGGAGGGCACACCAGGAAAAACAUUUUAUAAAAUCAUGGUUAAAACAAAUACAGAAGAAAACUGGACAAAAUACCUGACACCCCAUGGAGGAACUAUCUGCGCCUGGCUCCUGAGGCCAGGCCUGAGUGGAGGGCCUUCUACAAACCUCCACUCUCAAAAAGACAUGCAGAUGUUCACUGCAGAGUCCUCCAUGGGGUCAUCGCAGUGAACUCUUUUAUAUCGAACAUUAACCCGGCAGUAGAGGACACAUGUCCCUACUGCCCCCAGAGAGAAACAUUUUUUUUUUUACUGUUUUUAUGAAUGUCUGCGUCUUUUAC